This 957-nucleotide small RNA is filed under the name Pongo abelii (Sumatran orangutan). RNAcentral describes it as "retained intron". Lineage: Eukaryota; Metazoa; Chordata; Mammalia; Primates; Hominidae. The record is from RNAcentral.
CUAUAAAAGUGCAAGGCGGGCGGCGGCGUCCGUCCGUACUGCAGAGCCGCUGCCGGAGGGUCGUUUUAAAGGGCCCGCGCGCCGCCGCCCCCUCGGCCCGCCAUGCUGCUAUCCGUGCCGCUGCUGCUCGGCCUCCUCGGCCUGGCCGUCGCCGAGCCUGCCGUCUACUUCAAGGAGCAGUUUCUGGACGGAGGUAACGCCUGGUCCCGCCUCGAGGCCGCCCCGACGACGCGGCUGGCCCCCGAUCCUGGAUCUGCGUUGUCGCCCGUAAUUACCGUUUAGAGGUCCAAUACGGUGGCCCCCGGUGACUAGAGCCGCGGGCGAUUCCUCUUCUGCGUCCCUGGGGAGCGCGGAGGGCGUAGCGGCCUCCCGCGGCGGGAGUUAGGGUUAGCCCGAGGAUCUCUGAAGGCACUCGACGUGUCAAAGUAGAGGUUGGGAUGGGGAGAGUCGGGGAUCUCCUUUCCUGUCCCCAGCAGCUUGUGGCUCUCGGCAGAUGUUUGGUGUGGGGGAGGAUUAGUACAGCCGCGCUGACCUACCCCUCUAACCCCCCACUUAGACGGGUGGACUUCCCGCUGGAUCGAAUCCAAACACAAGUCAGAUUUUGGCAAAUUCGUUCUCAGUUCCGGCAAGUUCUACGGUGACGAGGAGAAAGAUAAAGGUUUGCAGACAAGCCAGGAUGCACGCUUUUAUGCUCUGUCGGCCAGUUUCGAGCCUUUCAGCAACAAAGGGCAGACGCUGGUGGUGCAGUUCACGGUGAAACAUGAGCAGAACAUCGACUGUGGGGGCGGCUAUGUGAAGCUGUUUCCUAAUAGUUUGGACCAGACGGACAUGCACGGAGACUCAGAAUACAACAUCAUGUUUGGUCCCGACAUCUGUGGCCCUGGCACCAAGAAGGUUCAUGUCAUCUUCAACUACAAGGGCAAGAACGUGCUGAUCAACAAGGACAUCCGUUGCAAG